GACGAACGCUGGCGGCGUGCUUAACACAUGCAAGUCGAACGGAAAGGCCCUGCUUUUGUGGGGUGCUCGAGUGGCGAACGGGUGAGUAACACGUGAGUAACCUGCCCUUGACUUUGGGAUAACUUCAUGAAACUGGGGCUAAUACCGGAUAGGAGCUCCUGCUGCAUGGUGGGGGUUGGAAAGUUUCGGCGGUUGGGGAUGGACUCGCGGCUUAUCAGCUUGUUGGUGGGGUAGUGGCUUACCAAGGCUUUGACGGGUAGCCGGCCUGGGCGGGUGACCGGCCCAGUUGGGACUGAGAUACGGCCCAGACUCCUACGGGAGGCAGCAGUGGGGAAUAUUGCACAAUGGGCGGAAGCCUGAUGCAGCAACGCCGCGUGCGGGAUGACGGCCUUCGGGUUGUAAACCGCUUUCGCCUGUGACGAAGCGUGAGUGACGGUAAUGGGUAAAGAAGCACCGGCUAACUACGUG
Molecule: ribosomal RNA, 468 nt
Filed under: uncultured bacterium
Lineage: Bacteria
Description: partial 16S ribosomal RNA
Rfam family: Bacterial small subunit ribosomal RNA
Source: RNAcentral